This 448-nucleotide ribosomal RNA is filed under the name uncultured bacterium. RNAcentral describes it as "partial 16S ribosomal RNA". It matches the Rfam family "Bacterial small subunit ribosomal RNA", at positions 29 to 523 of the family's 1533-position model. The record is from RNAcentral.
AACGAACGCUGGCGGCAGGCUUAAUACAUGCAAGUCGAACGCCCCUUUCGGGGGAGUGGCAGACGGGUGAGUAACGCGUGGGAACGUGCCCAAAGGUAGGGAACAACUCCGGGAAACUGGAGCUAAUACCCUAUGUGCCCGAGAGGGGAAAGAUUUAUCGCCUUUGGAUCGGCCCGCGUUGGAUUAGCUAGUUGGUGGGGUAAAAGCCUACCAAGGCGACGAUCCAUAGCUGUUCUGAGAGGAAGAUCAGCCACACUGGGACUGAGACACGGCCCAGACUCCUACGGGAGGCAGCAGUAGGGAAUCUUGGACAAUGGGCGCAAGCCUGAUCCAGCCAUGCCGCGUGAGUGAUGAAGGCCUUAGGGUUGUAAAACUCUUUCGCAGGUGACGAUAAUGACGGUAACCUGAGAAGAAGCCCCGGCUAACUUCGUGCCAGCAGCCGCCGCAG